AAUGAUUGACAUGGUUCAAUGGGCCUUUUUUUUAAACCGCUGAUUUCUCUUUACAGCAAAUUGCAAAUUAAAUCACAUGAAUAUCUCCGUUUCUUAGGUUCGUUAUUCGCGUUAGAAUGUCCUAAUUAUGUGAUCUUUGCCAGACUUUCAUGCAGUUUGGCCUAUUUGUGGAUUACAUUGUUUUGUCGAUGAUGUUUUAGGCCACUCUUUUCUUCUACGAAUCUAGCUAAAAUACUACUGCUCUUGGCUAUAACGUGAGAGCUGGGUGGUAACAUUUUGUUUUUCUGAUUUGUGUACAAAUUGACAUUAUGAGCAGGAAUGGCCAAUUUGUGUGACUUAUGGAGCUAUUGUUGGCUACUUGUCUGGAAUGAUGACUUCGUUUGGAUUCAUUGCCUUCAAAAACUGGCGACGGCGUGUGAAAGGAGACUAGUUUUUGACUAAUUUUCCAAGAGUAACCAUGUGGAGUACUACGAGUGUGCUUUAAACUUAUAAAGUUCUCGGACCAGAUUUACCGUGUUGAUCUUAUCAUGAAGAGAGGUUUACGUCCCUCGCAAAGUACCAAUGUUUUUAUAAACUCCCAGAACACCAGUUUUUUGCAAUGAAUUGCAAGAAGAUUUUGUGAAGUGGAUCAAGCAUAUUAUAAUUAAUUAAUGCCGUUGAGGCAAAUCUUGUAUUGUCGUUGAUUUCUUCGUACGUUAAUUUUUGUAAAUAUUUUUAGUAUCUAAUAUCCCUAUCAGUACUUAAAAUAGGAUAGAAAAUGGUGUCCUUAAAUUUGAAUAGUUUUUAAAAGUUCAAAUAAAUUUAGAUGCUCUAUCGCGGAUUAUGUUCGUAAAAUCUGCGUGUAACUCAAAUUUUAAUAUAUUCUGUG
Molecule: long non-coding RNA, 868 nt
Filed under: Olea europaea (common olive)
Lineage: Eukaryota; Viridiplantae; Streptophyta; Magnoliopsida; Lamiales; Oleaceae
Description: long non-coding RNA (OEUR_LNC011809)
Source: RNAcentral